Gallus gallus (chicken) is the source of this 2471-nucleotide long non-coding RNA. RefSeq lists it as uncharacterized. The transcript is spliced from 4 exons. The record is from RefSeq and is a predicted model, not a curated record. NCBI's taxonomy places the organism in Eukaryota, Metazoa, Chordata, Aves, Galliformes, Phasianidae.
GGAAUCGCCCAGCUGUCCCCUCAGACGGCAGCCCGUGGCCGUCCCCUUCGCCGUGGGAUGCGGGGAUUUGGGGCGGCUGAAGGAGUCGGGGCCCCCACCACCGCUAGCGCUGCUGCCCUCACAGGGGCCGGGCCCCCCCGAGCCUCCAGUGCUUGUUGAGGUUUCAGUCUGCAGUCUGCUGAUCCGAAAGAAAGAAGGCGGCUUUUGGAGGACUUGAUCAUUGCGAGUCGAGCUGCUGCUGAACCUCCCCUUCCAACAUCCAGCAGGUUUGUUCUGCAGGCCCCGGUGAUGGCACAGGCAUGAAAGAGCCCAGAGCUCGUCGCUGGGGAGAGGCUGCGUAUGGCGUUGUGAAGGGAGAGAUGGAGGAGGGGUUUGAGCAGCGCUGUGCAGGAAUGAACGGCUGGUAAGAGAAGAGGCAGGAGUCGGGCAGCGGUACUGCAGUGGGGAGCCCCACAGUCCCCAGCAGCACCCCAUGUCCCCCACUGGACAUGGGAAUUCUCCUAUUCCAUUCCACGGAAUCCUCCUAUUUCCUCCCUCAGAGCUCCUUUACACCUCCAAGAUCCCCCCUGGGAACUCACUGAUCCCCAUGGUCCCUGACAGGACCCCAUCACCAUCCCAGGACCCUCGUAGCCCACCUUUGGCCUCUCCUCUUCCUGACCUGCCUGCAGAUCCCGUACAACCUCACAGUGCUGUGGCAUGGAUGGCUUCUGCAGGUGAGGAAUGAGGAGCUGGAGAAGGUGUAGGGCACAGAUGUGGGUCACAGAAAGUGAAGUGGGCGGCACUGGGGAUACUGGGGAACACGGAUCAGAACAUGGGAGGAUUUGGGAAGGAUAAGGGGAUGUGGACCACAGCCUACAGGAGCAGAGUGCUUCACAGGAGAAGGCUUCCAAGGUUCCCCCUUGGCUGUGCACUGCAGGCUCACAGUCUCCACCACACAUCCGCUGUGCAGUUUUUCCAGAGGAGGUCUAUGGCCAACGUGUUCCUUUCGGGCUGAUUGUGUGCUUUUCUAUGCAGACAGGCAGGCAGGCAGGAUUUCUUGCAGCUGUUGCACGUGCUGGGUCUCAUGCUCCGUCCUGCAGCUGUGCCUUAUCUCGUGUGCACUCUCCACCUCCCCCUGGUCAGAACGUCCUGGCCCUGCUGUGCUCUGCUCAGCAUCUAUCUGCUGCACAAUGACACAGCUGUCACACUGAGCCUGCCUUGUGCUAUCCCUGCAGAUGUUCCAUGAUUUCCUCUGCCACUGUCCCACUCGUAACUGCUCGGGUGAUUUCCAGCAGCACACAGCUGGCACACAGAGCCAUGCUGACCACGGCAGGGUGCAGCUCCUUGUUGCAGUCCCGUAGCGGUGGGUGGCCGUGCCAAAGGGGGAUCCCACCGCUGCUCUCUAUCCUUCUGCGCUCGUUCUGCACCACCGUGCAUUCCUUCCUUCUCGUGCUGCGCUGCCCUCAGAGUGCUCUGCCCAUUUCUCGGGGUCGUUGCAGCAGCUGCUGCAAGUGCUGAUGUUGGAGCAGUUUCUUCCCCACCGCGAGAUCCCCUCCAAGAGGCACUGCCCCUACUGCUGCAAUGGCCCCACUCUCAAACUUCCUUUUGUAAUAAGGUGUGUUAUUAGUUCUGUAGCUGACUUGGAUUUCUUCUGCCGCUGUCCUGUGAAGGAGUUGAUUUGCUUCAGUCCAUCCCUGCCCCGUUCCUGGCUCGGGUGUCCCUCAUGGCCACGCAGCACCACAGCAGCCAAGCUCCAAUCCCUUCCCCGGUCUCAGUGGGAUCAGUUUGUUCUGUUCUCAUCCACUUACAGAAACAGAAGCUACCAACCCACCAAACCCUGCGACAGGUAUUUCCCUACAGAAGCAUUCAUGUCCUUCUGCUGGCCCCUUUGGCCAGUUCCCAGCUCUCCAAACUGAGGCGUACACUGCAGCCCCCCCCAUGGCUUCUUUCUGGCAGCUGUGGCGCAGCCCCACCCCGAGGAGGAGAUGCCUUUUCCCCACAUGCAGCUGGUUCUAUGGCCACAUGGGGUGAAGACGUGGGGUUGUGGGUCACAUGGGGGUCCUGCAGCAUCACAGAGUUACGGGGUGAUAUGGGGCUAUGGGGUCAGAUGGGGUUCUGAAUCACAGUGAUAGGGUCAGAUUGGAUGGUAGGGACAGAUGGGGUGACAUGGAGUUACGGAUCACAUGGGUUGUAUGGUCGGGGUGAGGUGGGGGCAGGGAUCCCAGAGUUAUGGGCCCACAUGGCGUCGGGUCACAGCGUGAUGGAGGCAGGCAGAGUCAGGGCGUCACAGGAUCAUGUGGGGGUAUGGUUCCCCCAGGGCUGUGGGUCACGUGCAGCCAUGGGGUCAUGCACAUAAAGGGCGAUGAGGUCAUCUUGGUUUAUGGCUCAUGUGGGGUAACGGCUCAGGGCCCCACCUUUGGGCCACAGGGACGCCCAGUCCCCUCUCAGGAUGAAAUGAAACCACUGCAAACUCUGCCCCCCCCCCCUCUUUU